AGGCGUUGAUCCGAAGGGGGCGUGAGAGCGUGACCCCCCACAUUGGCACUGAGACACGGGCCAAACUCCUACGGGAGGCAGCAGUGAGGAAUAUUGCACAAUGGGCGCAAGCCUGAUGCAGCAACGCCGCGUGAGGGAUGAAGGCCCUCGGGUCGUAAACCUCUUUUCUGAGGGACGAGCAAGGACGGUACCUCAGGAAUAAGUCUCGGCUAACUACGUGCCAGCAGCCGCGGUAAAACGUAGGAGGCGAGCGUUAUCCGGAUUUACUGGGCGUAAAGCGCACGCAGGCGGCUUCGUGAGUCGGAUGUGAAAGCUCCUGGCUUAACUGGGAGAGGCCAUUCGAUACUGCGGGGCUUGAGGUUGGGAGAGGGGUGCGGAAUUCCCGGUGUAGUGGUGGAAUGCGUAGAUAUCGGGAGGAACACCAGUGGCGAAGGCGGCACCCUGGCCCACACCUGACGCUGAGGUGCGAAAGCGUGGGUAGCAAACAGGAUUAGAUACCCUGGUAGUCCACGCCGU
RNAcentral lists this ribosomal RNA (516 nucleotides) under uncultured bacterium. Its description in RNAcentral is "bacterial SSU rRNA". It matches the Rfam family "Bacterial small subunit ribosomal RNA", at positions 271 to 803 of the family's 1533-position model. The record is from RNAcentral.